Molecule: long non-coding RNA, 1025 nt
Filed under: Fragaria vesca (wild strawberry)
Lineage: Eukaryota; Viridiplantae; Streptophyta; Magnoliopsida; Rosales; Rosaceae
Description: long non-coding RNA (FVES_LNC005232)
Source: RNAcentral
UAUAAUUGAGUUUACUCAUUACGUCCCUAGCUAAGAUAUGAUCANAUUUUUUUUUUUCAUUAAAAAAAGUUUUCUCACAUGAAAUCCUGGAUCUGUCACUGACCUUUACACUCAGUCGUUAUGUUGACGUUUGAGGCAAAUAACUCAUAGUAAAAAAAAAAAAAAAAAAAAACUAAAUACAAGACCAGCAAGCAAGAUCAUCCAUGAAACAAAUCUCUAUAUAUUAAGCGAAGCGGGGGAGUUACUGUUUACGUCAACAGUGACCGGUCCAUUUUACCCUCCUAUUUAAAAUUUUUUGCAACUCUGCCAUUUAGUUGGCUGCUUUGUCCAUUUUGCCCUCCUACUUUUAGAGUUUUUAUAACUAUGCUAUUCAGUUGGCUGCUUUGUCCAUUUUGCCCUCCUACUUUUAGUGUUUUUACAAUUUUACCAUCAGUUAACUGUUUUUAAAAUUUUAAUUAAUCAUGCAAUAAUUUAAUUCUUAAUUGUUGAGGGGGAAACAUAAAAGGGAGAAGAAACUUUUGUUAUUAUAUUUGGUCGAAAUUACUAUGGCCAUCUUAAUCAGACAAACAUUUGUGGUUAGGUAAAGAUAUUGAUCAAACAAAGCUUCAUAAUCAAAUUUUCCAAUUCAAAAACAUCAAAUUGGCUGCGUGGUGAAAUUUAACUCAUGGCCUGAAAUCAUAUACUCUGGAUUUCAUCUUCUCAGCGUCAACGUACACAUAUAUGGUGGUGGAUUAUCCAUGCCCGGAUCUCGGAGAGGAAAUCGAAGGUCGAAAGGCUGACUUUGAUUCUUUCAGUGAUCUUUUAGAGUUUGGAUGAAUUACUUGGUUCAUGGUGACUUUGAGCUCAGGUUGAGUCUGUUGAUUUGGGUUUGGAAAUCUAUUAAGGAGAGAGGGAUUGAAAGCUAUAUAUGAUAUUAACUAAGGUAAGUUUUUUUUUUUUUUUGAGAUUAACUUAGGAAGUUUUAUAGAAAAAAAAAUACAGAAAAGUUCACAACUUAGGAAGAGAAUAUGAGAAUAUUAGGGGAA